GUACGGCGAGUGAAGCGGCAACAGCUCAAAUUUGAAAUCUGGCUCUCGGGCCCGAGUUGUAAUUUGUAGAGGAUGCUUUUGAUGCGGUGCCUUCCGAGUUCCCUGGAACGGGACGCCAUAGAGGGUGAGAGCCCCGUCUGGUUGGAUGCCAAAUCUCUGUAAAGCUCCUUCAACGAGUCGAGUAGUUUGGGAAUGCUGCUCUAAAUGGGAGGUAUAUGUCUUCUAAAGCUAAAUACCGGCCAGAGACCGAUAGCGCACAAGUAGAGUGAUCGAAAGAUGAAAAGCACUUUGAAAAGAGAGUUAAAAAGUACGUGAAAUUGUUGAAAGGGAAGCGUUUAUGACCAGACUUGGGCUUGGUUAAUCAUCUGGGGUUCUCCCCAGUGCACUUUUCCAGUCCAGGCCAGCAUCAGUUUUCCCCGGGGGAUAAAGGCGGCGGGAAUGUGGCUCUCUUCGGGGAGUGUUAUAGCCCGCCGUGUAAUACCCUGGGGGGGACUGAGGUUCGCGCAUCUGCAAGGAUGCUGGCGUAAUGGUCAUCAACGACCCGU
This 545-nucleotide ribosomal RNA is filed under the name Fusarium oxysporum. RNAcentral describes it as "LSU rRNA". It matches the Rfam family "Eukaryotic large subunit ribosomal RNA", at positions 83 to 652 of the family's 3401-position model. The record is from RNAcentral. Lineage: Eukaryota; Fungi; Ascomycota; Sordariomycetes; Hypocreales; Nectriaceae.